UGGGGUGUAGCUCAGUGGUGGAGCACCCAUCCUGCAUGCACAAGGUCCUGGGUUCAAUCCCCAGCACCACAA
This 72-nucleotide transfer RNA is filed under the name Heterocephalus glaber (naked mole-rat). It matches the Rfam family "tRNA". Rfam says of the family: Transfer RNA (tRNA) molecules are approximately 80 nucleotides in length. Their secondary structure includes four short double-helical elements and three loops (D, anti-codon, and T loops). Further hydrogen bonds mediate the characteristic L-shaped molecular structure. tRNAs have two regions of fundamental functional importance: the anti-codon, which is responsible for specific mRNA codon recognition, and the 3' end, to which the tRNAs corresponding amino acid is attached (by aminoacyl-tRNA synthetases). tRNAs cope with the degeneracy of the genetic code in two manners: having more than one tRNA (with a specific anti-codon) for a particular amino acid; and 'wobble' base-pairing, i.e. permitting non-standard base-pairing at the 3rd anti-codon position. The record is from Rfam by way of RNAcentral. Lineage: Eukaryota; Metazoa; Chordata; Mammalia; Rodentia; Bathyergidae.